GACGAACGCUGGCGGCGUGCUUAACACAUGCAAGUCGAACGGAAAGGCCCUGCUUUUGUGGGGUGCUCGAGUGGCGAACGGGUGAGUAACACGUGAGUAACCUGCCCUUGACUUUGGGAUAACUUCAGGAAACUGGGGCUAAUACCGGAUAGGAGCUCCUGCUGCAUGGUGGGGGUUGGAAAGUUUCGGCGGUUGGGGAUGGACUCGCGGCUUAUCAGCUUGUUGGUGGGGUAGUGGCUUACCAAGGCUUUGACGGGUAGCCGGCCUGAGAGGGUGACCGGCCACAUUGGGACUGAGAUACGGACCAGACUCCUACGGGCGGCAGCAGUGGAGAAUCUUGCACAAUGGGCGGAAGCCUGAUGCAGCAACGCCGCGUGCGGGAUGACGGCCUUCGGGUUGUAAACCGCUUUCGCCUGUGACGAAGCGUGAGUGACGGUAAUGGGUAAAGAAGCACCGGCUAACUACGUG
RNAcentral lists this ribosomal RNA (468 nucleotides) under uncultured bacterium. RNAcentral describes it as "partial 16S ribosomal RNA". It matches the Rfam family "Bacterial small subunit ribosomal RNA", at positions 28 to 507 of the family's 1533-position model. The record is from RNAcentral.